AACGAACGCUGGCGGCAUGCCUAACACAUGCGAGUCGAACGAGACCUUCGGGUCUAGUGGCGCACGGGUGCGUAACGCGUGGGAACCUGCCCUUAGGUUCGGAAUAACUCCCCGAAAGGGGUGCUAAUACCGGAUAAUGUCUUCGGACCAAAGAUUUAUCGCCUUUGGAUGGGCCCGCGUUGGAUUAGCUAGUUGGUAGGGUAAAAGCCUACCAAGGCGACGAUCCAUAGCUGGUCUGAGAGGAUGAUCAGCCACACUGGGACUGAGACACGGCCCAGACUCCUACGGGAGGCAGCAGUGGGGAAUAUUGGACAAUGGGCGAAAGCCUGAUCCAGCAAUGCCGCGUGAGCGAUGAAGGCCUUAGGGUUGUAAAGCUCUUUUACCCGGGAUGAUAAUGACAGUACCGGGAGAAUAAGCGCCGGCUAACUCCGUG
This 433-nucleotide ribosomal RNA is filed under the name uncultured bacterium. RNAcentral's name for it is "partial 16S ribosomal RNA". It matches the Rfam family "Bacterial small subunit ribosomal RNA", at positions 29 to 507 of the family's 1533-position model. The record is from RNAcentral.